Molecule: unclassified non-coding RNA, 218 nt
Filed under: uncultured Thelephoraceae
Lineage: Eukaryota; Fungi; Basidiomycota; Agaricomycetes; Thelephorales; Thelephoraceae
Description: sequence contains ITS2
Source: RNAcentral
ACACCUCAACUCUCAUGGCUUGCCAUGAUGAGCUUGGACUUUGGAGGUCUUGCUGGCCUGUGGUCGGCUCCUCUCAAAUGGAUCAGCUUACCAGUGUUUGGUGGCGUCAUGGGUGUGAUAACUAUCUACGCCUGUGAUUUUCUGCCGGAUAACCUUCAGUGAUGGAGGUACGCUGGAGCUCAUAAAUGUCUCUCCUCAGUGAAGACAGCUUUUUGAAC